This 460-nucleotide ribosomal RNA is filed under the name uncultured bacterium. Its description in RNAcentral is "partial 16S ribosomal RNA". It matches the Rfam family "Bacterial small subunit ribosomal RNA", at positions 338 to 795 of the family's 1533-position model. The record is from RNAcentral.
CCUACGGGUGGCAGCAGUGAGGAAUAUUGGUCAAUAGGCGUAAGCCUGAACCAGCCAAGUCGCGUGAGGGAUGAAGGUUCUAUGGAUCGUAAACCUCUUUUAUAAGGGAAUAAAGUGUGGGACGUAUCCUAUUUUUUAUUUACCUUAUGAAUAAGGAUCGGCUCACUCCGUUCCAUCAGCCGCGGUAAUACGGAGGAUCCGAUCGUUAUCAGGAUUUAUUGUGUUUAAAGUGUGCGUAGGCGGCCUUUUAAGUCAGCUGUGAAAGUCUGUGGCGCAACCAAAGAAUGGCCUCUGAAAUGUGGGGGCUUGAGUAUGUUUGAGGCAGGCGGAAGUCGUGGUGUAGCGGUGAAAUGCUUAGAUAUCACGCAGAACCCCGAUUGCGAAGGCAGCCUGCCAAGACAUGACUGACGCUGAUGCACGAAAGCGUGGGGAUCAAACAGGAUUAGAUACCCCUGUAGUC